GAUGAACGCUAGCUACAGGCUUAACACAUGCAAGUCGAGGGGCAGCACAGUGUAGCAAUACACGGGUGGCGACCGGCGCACGGGUGCGUAACGCGUAUCCAACCUUCCCGUUACUCUUGGAUAGCCUUCCGAAAGGGAGAUUAAUACAAGAUGGUAUUCAAAUUCCGCAUGUUAUUUGAAUUAAAGAUUUAUCGGUAACGGAUGGGGAUGCGUGACAUUAGGUAGAUGGCGGGGUAACGGCCCACCAUGCCUACGAUGUCUAGGGGUUCUGAGAGGAAGGUCCCCCACACUGGAACUGAGACACGGUCCAGACUCCUACGGGAGGCAGCAGUGAGGAAUAUGGUCAAUGGUCGGAAGACUGAACCAGCCAAGUAGCGUGAAGGAUGAAGGUU
RNAcentral lists this ribosomal RNA (392 nucleotides) under uncultured bacterium. RNAcentral describes it as "bacterial SSU rRNA". It matches the Rfam family "Bacterial small subunit ribosomal RNA", at positions 28 to 416 of the family's 1533-position model. The record is from RNAcentral.